Molecule: long non-coding RNA, 1783 nt
Filed under: Apteryx owenii (little spotted kiwi)
Lineage: Eukaryota; Metazoa; Chordata; Aves; Apterygiformes; Apterygidae
Description: lncRNA (ENSAOWG00000016466.1)
Source: RNAcentral
UUACUACGCAGCAGGAGUGUCUGUCUCUUAGAGGAGACAUUAUGAAAAUCUUACAUCUGUUGAAGUUCCAGUGUCAGUAGUUGUUAGCAAGAUGCGAAGAGAAAGUGACUGGAAAGGGCCUCCUCGUUAUUCAGUCCCUUUCCCCCAUCACAGGAAAUUGUUGUCUUGUAAUCCCUGCUGAAGGGAUAAGAAGUUUGUUUAAAAAAUGGAUAGAUUUCUUGCCUCCCUCAGAACUGUAGACAAGAUUAAGACCCUGAUCCCAAAGUUCCAGCAUCUGCAGUCCCCUGGGUAUUUUUGGUCACUCCUACAAUUGGAAUAAGGAUCACUUGUCACAUGCUAUAAAACUUGGCUUUUGGCUCAAGGCUGCAUAUGAUCUUUGCCUCCAAAUUAGGUUUCACCGUAUUUCUUCCAUUAUCCAUUGAAGCAUGGAGAAAUUAGAUGAAGAAAGCAGCAGAGGGUUGCCCAUCUCUGGGAACCAAAAUGGGGCAGGAAAAGUGGAAGAAGGUGCCUCCAGCAAGCAGGGAAUGGAGAAUCUGACUUAACUGAGGUGUGCUGGGACCUGAGGCUCUCCCUGUGCUUUUCUACAGCUGGGUGGCAGCAUUUCUGCAGUGAUUCAUCUGCAUGGAAAUAAGGCAUCCUUAAGGCUUUAUUUUAAUUCAGAAAUCUUUCAAAAUAUCGGAAUUGCCCUUGGAACAGAAGUUACCAGCUUCGUCGAGAAGCCAAUGUAACUCCAGUGGCCAGAAGGGACUUCUCGAGCAGGAUUAGACCCGUCGUGGGCACCAGGCUCCAAAGGGCAGUGAGCUGUGCCUGUCCAUGAACUCGAGCCCUGGCGUCGCUCUGCUGCCCUGUGCCGGCAGCCGUGACGCGUGUGCAGCAGCAGGGACGGCACCUGCACCCCUUCCCGUGUGUCACCCAUGAAAUGAGUUUGCAGGAGCUUUCUUGCCUAGCCGGCGUCAGCUCCAGCUGUGGCUCACGGUGGAGAUGAGCAGCUUGUAUGGAUGUUUGCAGAGGAUUCCUCUGGUGGAUGCUGUCAAGCAUCAGCGAGUGACAGUUACCCUCGGGAUGGAGGAAGUGGUCCCGUUCCUCUGGAAUGGAAUGGUUUAGCCACUUCGCCCCCUGCCUUGGGGCAGUGGGGAUGGCUGAAGGGCCCUCGCAGUCCCCUCGCACCUCUUUCCUAUGGUAAGAACAUAUGUAGCGUCUGAUCUCAAGUUGUGAAAACCCGCGGUCUUCGAAGCCGUAGCUACUGAACUAUUCUGGGACAUCAGCGGUGAUUUCAGGACACAGGCAGACAGGGGAAUCUUUAAACAACCUGACGUUCUGCUGAAAUCUCCCCAGUGCUCCAAGCUGAGUUAUAAACUAGUAUUGACUCUUCAUCAUGGUGUGUCACUUUUUUUCCGCUGGUAUGAAAACAAUAUAAAACUGAGGAGAAGAAACAGGGAGGAAUAAGUAUAAUGUUAAAUAUGUUAAUACCAAGUAUAGAAGCUGCUUUCCUUCUUCAGGCUUAAUUUUGUUAAGAAACAAAUGUGAAGCACAUGUGAAAUGAGUCAUUCAGUUUGCCCAUACUAAAUUAGUUGGUUAAACUUAGGAAAAUGCAUUUUAGGCUUGCUAAUGCAAUUGUAACUAUAAAGCCUUUUGCUAAUGAAUUCUCAAUGACAUUGCUGGCAGCUAAUUUGGAAAACAUUUCCAUAUGUGACUUCCAUAUGCAUCUCUGCUGGGGAGGGGGGAGGAAAGCAUGAUUGUGUAGGACCUGGUUGUUUUGUCAUGUUUUUUGAAUGGAUUGAAG